This is a non-coding RNA of Psammomys obesus (fat sand rat), 73 nucleotides long. NCBI's taxonomy places the organism in Eukaryota, Metazoa, Chordata, Mammalia, Rodentia, Muridae. The record is from the annotation of a RefSeq genome assembly.
ACCCAGCUAGCUCAGUUGGUAGAGCAAAAGAUUUUUAAUCUCAGGGUUGUGGGUUCGAGCCCCGUGUUGGGCA